Molecule: long non-coding RNA, 827 nt
Filed under: Populus trichocarpa (black cottonwood)
Lineage: Eukaryota; Viridiplantae; Streptophyta; Magnoliopsida; Malpighiales; Salicaceae
Description: long non-coding RNA (PTRI_LNC003241)
Source: RNAcentral
UAAAAAAUUCAUUUAUAUGAUAAUUAGAGUAUUUCUCUCUCUCUCUCUAAUAUCCUAAACACUAUCUAAGAAUCAAUUCUUCCCGUAUUAAAACUAAAGCCCUCUUAAACGGUUCUUUUAUACUUAGAUAUUCCAUUACAAAAGAAAAAAGUUUUAUCUCGCACCCUUCUUUAAUCAAACCCCAAUAUACCAAGAAAUUAAGUGCUUCGUUUAGGAACAUGGUUACCCCGCAUAGACAUAGCCUCUUCGUACACCGAGUACAUGAAUAAUGAGGAAUCUCGAUCCUAAGCGAAGAACAAUGUUAUGGUUGAUCUCUCAGUCUCAUUUUUCACUCAUUUCUCUACCAAAAUUCCCCCACAAUAACUCUCUUGAAAGGACAAAACUUAAUGCUCCUGAAACCUCUUUGGAAAUCCAGACAGGUCCUGAGGAGUUCAUAGAUCAAAUUCCUACGCAUGGCCUGAAGUCAUCAUGCAGAUUAUUAAGAACAAGGAGGUGCAUGGAUGUCAAAGAUGCGAGAGAAAGGGAGAAGAUUCUUCAAGCUGUGGGGACUGACAUAAUUUGAAUGUUUUGAAGAGAAUUAUUCAGACCACAACAUGGGUACAUGAUAGAUAAUUGGGGAUAAUCCAUGACAAGCCAUUCUCCUACAUAAACAGGCUCUAUAUGUGGAAUUUCAAGUCGCCUUGUGGGACGAUAUGCGACAGCCCCGAUAUAUAUAUUUAUCUACUCUUUGCUUGUAAGUGCAAGGUGUUAACCUUUUCCAAGAUUUACUGCAAAUAAAUGGAAUUAUGAAUUUACAAUAUAUAUAUAUAAUCCAACCCCAUUUUUAA